CCCAAGCAAGCAUCAGUGACAGCCAGCACCAUGACGGGGUCGUCGUCAGUGUGAUGCUACCUCAUUGACGAGUGGACUGUUGGCGGAGCAAGUUGCCAUCACCGUGAGGUUCCGUAUUAUGCCAAGUGAUUCUACUGCAGUUUGCUAUUCACAUUGGCGAUCCUGCCAGGAGUGCAUCAUAAAUAAAUAACAAGUUAAUCAUAAAAUAGGUAGAAUCACUUGGCAUAAAAACAGUGAGAGAAAACAAAUCGUUUUGGUGUGAGAAGUGUGUGGUCGUGCUGCAAACACAGUGAAGUUGCGGUUCCUGGAGAAAGCUAGAGCGCGGAAAGUUUUUGUUUUUCCAACCGCGUUCUGUUUUAGCCUUGGUUCUAGCACAAACACAUGAACGAAGGCGCGGUGACGUGGUUGAUUUUUGUUGUCGACUGGUAGCACGCUGUGGAUAGGUGGUCGGUCGAUGAUUGCAUGCAUGUUUCUUCAUGUUCUUGCUCGGCAUGGAUGGUCGCGCUUUCGUUGAUUCCUCGGAUCGUACAUGCUCGUGUUGUCGCUCGGUUGAACGGUAAAUGCAAACAGGUUGAUGUGCAUGAUGGUAGAGGUGUUUGACUAUUGUGAAUGUUGCCGUAAAAUACUCGCGGCAUUGGUUGGCUGGGUUGGUUUUUUUUGCUCGGGUUUUUGGUUAGGCAAAUUAAUGGCGUGUCGAACCGCCGAAAAUUUUUCUGCAUAAGGAAAAUGCAGGGACGUGUAAUGAAAACCGUCCAAAGAAACGGCAUUUUUAGAUAACCGCCGAAAAUUAUUCUGCAUAAAGAAAAUGCAGGGACGUGUAGUGAAAACCGUCCAAGGUAAAGGCGUUGUUGGAUAACCGCCGAAAAUUUUUCUGCAUAAGGAAAAUACAGGGACGUAAAAUGAAAUCCGUCCAAGGAAAUGGCGUUAUUGAAAAACUGCCGAAAAUUGUUUGCAUCAGGAAAAUGCAGCGAUGUGUAAAGAAACCCGUCUAAGGAAAUGGCGUUGCAUGAUAACUGCCGAAAGCUGUGCGUGUGGAAAAUGCAGGGACGUGUAAUGAAAACCGCCCAUAAAAAUUGCAUAUCGUAAAACAGUUUAAAAUUCGAAGUACGCAAUGAAAACAUAUCUACUGAAAAUAUGUUGUAGAACCUCUUUCGAACUCGUUUUGUAGAAUCUAUUUUCAUAUAAUGAAGGACAUUUGUGUGUUAUAUAUGGUCCAUCUGUACCAUCACAUUGAAGCAUUGAAAGUGGAGUUGUAUGAUAUACGGAAUCUUUAGUCUGAUAAAUCUCAAAUUCGUUGAUCUUUUGUUUUUUUUUUCUUUUUUGACAAAUAAUUCUUACAAAAUAUGUUCGUUUUCGUUGAAUGCGUCGAAUUUUCGCAAUCGUGAAUAACGAUUGAUUUGAGUGAGAGAAAAACAGGGCCGGCUACAUAACGAGACGUGCGCUUGAAGGAUAGAAGACGCAUCACCCAACUGCGUGUGUUGUAGUUAUUUUUAUUGGAGCUCGGCAAUAGGUUCGGUAUUAACAAAAGUGCGUUUACUGAACAAAAAAGUAAAUGUGGCCAUUCGCCUUAAUUUUUUUUUUUUUUAAUUUCUUUGUAUUUGUGAAUUUUAACUUAUUGCUAAUUCUUCACACAUUCGCCUUAAUUCUUGUAUCUUGAAGUGUAUUGACCGUCCAGUUCCAAACUGUUCACGACCAUUUGAAACAGUCGACGUUUCAAACGGUCGGUGAACGGUUGCUGACGGAUUUGACAGCAAAAAUGAGCGAGAAAGAUUUCGCGCGCAAACGCGUAUUUCAAAACAUUCAAUUGGUGAAACAAGGACAGCUGACCGGGCGCCAACUGAUUCCUUGAUCAGCUGUUGCCGGCAGCCAAGCCGCCAGUUUUUUGGCGUGGACGUCAGGGGUGUUCAGAUGCAAUGUUUAUCAAUUAAUAAAUUUAUGAGGAUAUUUUUUUUUCCGCGAUAAAUGUUUUGCAUUUUCUAAAAUAGGGUGUAAUAAAGGCUAUUUACAUAAGAACCAAGAUAAUUACCUAUGUUUGAAGUUCUUGAAGACCUGAAUGUUUGGAAUAAUGAUGUGCUCGAAAUCAAUUUGCUGAUUGAUCGAUUUCUAUAGAAUACAUCGAGAACCCCCUUGAUAUUCGACGACUGUUCUGAACAGUUUCACAGACAGUCGGGAUAAUCCAACUUUGAACUGAAUACACAAUAUCUUGUUGCAUUGGUCUAGGGGCAAGGCACUGUGCAAACGAGAGCAACUCUGAGAAAUUCUGAGUUACUUCUUUUAUCGAUGAUCGACGAAAUUUGUUGGAAGACAUCCCUAAAACUGCAAUUUUCAUUCAGCACACGCAACACUUUGGCAGUUUGACAUUGGUGCCAGAUCACACUUUGGCAUAAAUGGGAGAAAUUCUGAGGAACUGUGAGGAAUUCUGAGCAACACCUCGAGCACAGAUUUGCUCUCGUUAGAUCUGUCUCGCCCCUAGGCAUUGGUGCCAUAAGGAUGAAGAGAACGAAAUUGAGGGUUUGAGCGUAAAAAUAACAAGCCUGCUAGUAAGAAAACUUUUUUUUUCGGAGAAGAGGGAGAAUGUGGGGUAUGAACAAAGCUGAGUAGCAUUUCCCAUGCGUGUAUUUCCCCAAGCAAGCAUCAGUGACAGCCAGCACCAUGACGGGGUCGUCGUCAGUGUGAUGCUACCUCAUUGACGAGUGGACUGUUGGCGGAGCAAGUUGCCAUCACCGUGAGGUUCCGUAUUAUGCCAAGUGAUUCUACUGCAGUUUGCUAUUCACAGUAUGGAAAAACAAAAUUUGUAUGGCCAGAUCCCCCACCCCCCAAAAAGUCUACGUGGUUUAUUAAAGGUCCACGGAGAAAAAUCAAUGUAGUUUGAAUCAACAAACAGGUUUGUUGAACUACAAACUGGAAAAAUAGUUGUUUCAAACUGUAAUUUUGUUGCAUUAAAUUCACCAUUUCAGUUUGAAACAAACUGGAUAAUUUGUUGUUUUAACUACGGCGUCCUACUAUGAGACAACAACAAAAUUAGUUGUUUUAAACCAAUCAGUUUGUUGUUCCUACAAAACCUACGGUUUAUAUUUACUAAAACACGGGUUGUCCUCUUUCGGCAGAGCAAAUCAAACUAUAAGGUUGAUUUUACUACCGAGGCGGUUGAAGUGAACUAAAAUGUUUGUUGGAGAAGUAAUAACUAACAUCUUGGUUUGAAACCUGGGAGAAACAAACUAACUUUUUAGUUUGUUUCAUGCUUCCUCUUCCACGUCAUUGCUUGCUUCGAUGCAAACAUGAAUUUCAUCCACUCGAAUUUAGCCCACGUUGUGUGAUUGCUCGUUUAAGAAAAAGUCGUUUAAGAUAAAUCAAAGUGCAGUAUUAUUUAAUCUGAAGUCCUUAAGAUCACAAUGGCUGAUGAAGCUGAAUAGUUUCCAGUAACAACAUCACAACCACCACCCGCCAUGGUCGCAAGAUUGGCUGCCAACGAAAGCUCCAAAAAGGACAAGGCUGCCGACUAUCCCCGGAACCCACAUGGACAGCUGCUAUGGGAAUCCAGACCAUAUCCAUCGAAAGUGUGAUUUAUGUUGUCAUCGUGGAAGCUACAUAUUUCAACCUUAAAGUUCACCACAAUGCCGUACAAGAAUCGGCCGUAAAGGUGCCCUUCAAUUCAACAAUCGCCGCAUCGCUAUACGUGAGGAGUCCAUACAUUUGUCUGGACAUUUGUCUACAUUGUUUUACUUUUAUGUAUGAUCUCAUUAUUCAGAUAUGAAGAAUGUAAAUAAGAGACUUUUCAAUAAAAUCUACGAAUACUCCAGCAAACAGUUAUUUAUCAGAUUUUUUCAUAAUAUUAGCCCAAGAAUAGCUAGGGAUAAAUAAAACAUACCGGUUGUUGUAACCGGUAUCCUUAGUAUUUAUUACAAACCAAACGGUUUGUUUCAAACGGCAAAUUAAUUGGAGCAAACUACGAGCGUCAGUUGAAACAACUAACGGAAACGGUUGUUAUCUCAAAUGUCAAAAUGGAACAACCGGCUUAUUAGUAAAUUCAAACCAAUAUUUGUAGUUUCAACUCACGCUGAAAUGAACUAAGGUGUCAGUUAAAUACAACUACCGGAGGUAGUCAAAUCAAACCGAAAUUUCGUUCGUGCCGAUUUCAACCUGAAAUGCCGGUUAAAUUAAACUGAAAUUUGAUUGUAUUUACUAAUAAUUUUUCUCCGUGUUAGAACUGGAUUUGUAUUUUUUCCGCGCAUAAUUCCACGUUAGCAAAAAAUUAACCAGUGAUCGUGUUGAUCUAGUCAUUUCUUACCCCUCCCUUUGAAUUUGGAUUCCCUGAGAUUUCAUUUUCCAAAAGAAAUUAAAACAUUUGUAGCGGAAGUCGGGUACCAACCCAAAUGAUGAGCGCAGUCUUAACCCUGGAGCCGAAGGGGUCAUAUAUAACCUCAACAUAUAAACGGCUGUAUAACCCAAGAAACAAUUAUUCAUUUGAGAAAGGUUUCUUAAAGCAGUGUUAUUAAAAUAUAAGUUUUAUUAUAUUUGGUUUAGUUCAAAUUAAACCGUUGUUAAACUCUUGUUAGCCCAGAAAUGGAGAAUCUGUUCAACAUCAGCCGUUCUAUAAGCGUUGUAAAUGUUAUGUUUAUUCAAUGAUCGUUGCUUCAUUAUACGGCUGUUGUUCAACGUUCAACCCGUUUGCUAUUUACAAAUAUAUCAGCAACCUUUCUUAAACGUUUAUCAACCAAGUUGUACGAUGUAUUUUUGUAUAAUCGUCUAAUAAAGGUUUUAGAAACAAUUAAAGCAAACUUGCAGCCUCGUUCAUUAUAACAAGCUUUCUACGACAAUGAUUCCACCAGAAUACAAACAAAAUUUGGCAACAAUUUCAAUUUUUAUAUUUUAUUGAACAAAUGCUGUAAAAAAGUUUCUUAAACGUUUCUUCAAUAUCGCUCUAUAAAUAAAUAAGCAAAAAGAUGUUUCAUUUUACAUAUUUCUCAUAUGAAUAUUUUGAAACAGCUUUUUAUGGCUAGAUUACCUACAUUAAUCACAGUUUUAUGAUAGAACUCACAUCAUUGACAAGACUCGAACUCGGGACUUUUUGCUUCACUGUUGUCUGCAUCUGCUCUUCUCCAAUCAGGAUUGCAUGAAUCGGAAAAAUUAAAUCAGUAUUUAAACAUUGAAUCGAAUACGUUGCCGUCCAUACGUUGCUAAAACAUCGCUUAAGUUUUGUUAUUCGACUAGUUGUCGACAUGAACAUUGAUGCUGAUUAAUGAUUGAUUAAUCAUAUCCGCAACGUUUAUUCAUUUAAAUAAACUUUUCUGCAAGCUAUGUUUAUCAGCAGCGCUACUGGAGCCUAUUAGUAGCUGUGAAGUCAGUUCGCUAUGGUGCGAUGUUGUUUAGCAAAUUUGGUGAUCAUUCAAACAUAUUUUUCAUUUCUCAUGCCCAAAAAAGUGAGUUGUGUUUAGUUUUCGGAACAUUCAUUUCGUGUACGAAAGUAAAAUGUGUCACCCUGCUGUUGAUCUCCUGACAAAAGUGGAUCCUGAACCCGGUCAAGAUAGAAAUAAGGCUCGAUCUGUGUCAUGAUGAAGGAACCAGGGGGAAAACUUUUAGACGCUGCUUGUUAGAGGAGCCAGUUGCCGUUUUCAAGCUCGGUGGAUUUGCUGCCGUUGAUCAGUGUAGUGUUAAAGGUAAUUCGUGAUGUUUUUUGAAGUGUGAUACAAUUAUUUAGAGCUGCUGCGAGGCUCCUGUUUGAUGUAGAAAAAUUUGCAACUGUGUUUACAAAUGUAAACAUGGCGAACAAUGGCGAUUAAGAGCACUGCUAAUCAGCAGCUGAACAGAACGAAUAAGCUACUCUUGUUAACCUAUUUUUAAGCUAGUUGUUCCACUAUGAAUUAUAUAUGGAAUAAUGGCAUCUAAUACGUCGGAAACAGCUUGUAUUCGUACAUUAUUAGAACAUUAUUAGGCUAUAGAUGGAAAUUCGUAAACUACAUUUCUUAAACUUCUGUUCGAUCAGUUGUUCAAUUUACAUAAAUAUGAUGAACAGGAGUGCUAUUUAAACUGUUUGAAAUAUUUAUUCGACUCUUUUUUCAACACAUACCCUUAUUCAACUGUCGGCGUUAUCGUAGAACGCUUGUUAAGCUGGCAUGCUUAUUAAUGAUUUCGAAUUGUUACUUGGGAAAUUCACCCAUUCGAUAAAACAGAAUACGGUAUUCGGCAAAGUUGUUGCAAAUUGAGUUCUUUAUUAAGAAAAAAUGGGAAUAUUUGUAUUUGAGAUAUUACUGAUAUCCUAGAACAUCCUGAAUACCAUGAAGUUUGGAUACACGAAAAAAUGGGCAUACCAGCUGUUCUAAAAGCUGAAUUUGGGUAUGGGCUACGCUCAUAAGUAUUCAUUCAACCUGUGUCAAGAACAUCGUGAAAAGGUGUUUUAUAUUCACCUAGAACAUGUAGUUAAGUCCUUAAAAUCUAUAACAAUUUUUUUUGUAUUUUCGACAUAAAUAACAGCAUUGCAUAAUCUAAUUGGGUCCGUGAAGCUCUUGAAACUUCAAAUAGCUUUUUGUGACACUAUAGGGAUAUUCCAGGUCAGCCAAAUUGCCUUGAAGUUCAGAACUUCAAGUCUACACUCGUAACAAUAGCCAUAUCUGCUAUACUGAGUAACGCUGCAUAAUCAAUUAAUCAACCGCGGUUACUGCACCUAUCUGAAGUCUACUUGAUGUUAUUAAAAACCUUUGGGACAUUCAGGGUCCUCCAAACUGUCUUAUGAUGAAGUCCUACAAAUCUACAAGAAAAACUAGAUGUGUUUUUGACAUAAAUAACAGCAUUGCAUAAUCUAAUGGAAUCCGUGAAGCACUUGAAAUCUCAAAUGUCAUUUAAAUAGAGACACUAUAAGUAUAUUCCAUUUCAGCCAUGUAUACUUGAGCAACCUAAAGUCUACUAUACAUAAUUAUGAGCCCUUGGGCCAUUCAGGGAGGUCCAAACUGUGCUUAAGUUUAGCUCUUGACAUUAACAGUAGUUAUUCUCAUAAUGAACUGUAGCAUUACCCGUACAACCUCAAUCUGUUAUCCCCCUGGAAUUUCCUGAGUCAUUCCCAGGUAGUUUUGAGAUAUUCGCAUUCGAUCAACCAAAUUACUUCGGAGACCGUAGCUUGAAGUCUACACGUGUGGUAAUAGCGUUUGCCACUAAGGACUGUAUCGGAAAUUAACUAUAAACAAUCAAAAUGCUCUAUCUCGACGCACGGUUGGUCUUUCCAUUCCGGUUCUUCUAUGAAAUCUUCACAAUAUAGUUGAGUUUAGAACAGCUUGAAGAAAUUUGGAAAAUGUUAAGUAUUAUUGAAAAUAUGGGUCUAUGUGUAUACCACACAAAAUAACAAUCUGUACAAACUCCAUUUUUUUUUUAUUUUUUUUAACGUUUCAAACAUUUGUAGUGAAAAAAAAUGGUACGGGGAAAAAUCUGGAAAAUAAUGAUUAUUACUAGCAGUUAUGUACACAUAACAUAACACUCAAAACCGAGUAUUAAAAUUCUUAUUUUGGAUAGAAAAACCUCCAACAUUAAAAAUAUGGUCUAUCCCAAAAAACACCUACUUUUUGGUCGAACUUUGACGGUCUGUUUUAAAUAUCUUUAGAGGUUAUAAAAUUCCGUUCUCUGGUAAAAAUACCUCUUCAAUAGAUUUAAAUACACACCCAAUCGAAAAAAAAAUGCAAAUUUUCAAUUUAAUGUAUUUUUUAUUUGCGUAAUCGUUCUUUGAAGCCGCAUAAAAAGAGUUCCUCGAAAAAUGGACUUUUUUCAUUUUUAAGAAUUGCCCUAAACUGUGGAGGGAAUUUUUCUUGAUAAAAAUAAUUUUCCUAUAUCAUGAGCAUUCUGGAAAAGAUUAUAUUUGCGCAAAAAUAAGAGAAAAAAAUGAAUAUUUUACCACAAUUUUAAAAUUUUAGGAGGUGUCCAAAAUUUUAAAAACAUAUGUGCAAUCUUUGAGAUAAAAGUCCAUGUUGAAUGAUUAUUUUUUGAAAAUCAGAACUGCCAUUCUUUAUUUAAGAGAUUUAUAUAGUAUCUCCAAAAAUAAAGUUAUGUUUAUUUCGAACAGAUUAUUUUUCAGGCAAUUGUGAACGUUUAUAGUUAAUUUCCGAUACAGUCCUUAUGUUAAUAAGUGUGACAUCCACUGUAUUUACCAAAUUAGUUCAAGGAACAAUAAGCGUUGUUAUCUAUAUUUGGGAUAUUAUUGUUGGGAAUCUCAGCACAGUGGACCAGAGCUACCGACCGGAACGACCAACCGGACAAUUACCGUUCCCGGGAUUCGUUAUACGAACAAAAUAAUUGCUACGCCGAUCGUGUUUAUAUCACUUUAAUCGUCAACGAUCUAGUACGGACUGAAUAAACAAAACAGCUAAAGUCAUCAAGCUUCGUCAAAUACAUCUGUUACAAACACAUACAAUCAUCAACAUCUGUCUGCUAUUCUCAAGGGGACGGCAACCUAUUUUUUCACUAUGGAGUUUGACAGGUUGGAUUGUGCCUCCUUACGUGGAGCAUAAAUUUAUGCUCCAGCCAAAAUAUUCACCAACACAGUCAUGGAAUUUGCAUGUUUACCUUUUAUACGAGGGAUAUCGGUGCAAAACGCUUACCUCACAUUAGAUCUCAUAAAAGUAUUGAUGAUGAAAAUGCGGCAUUAAUUGAUAAUUUUCAAUUUCAGAGUGUCGAUGUUUAGGUAAAGUUCCUACAGUGAGUGAGAAUUGCUAGUGAAAAGACACACCACACCUUUUUUCGCAAACUUUGUUCGCCAAAGUGCGUUUUUCCUUAUUUCCUCCCGCUGCUGUAUUGAGUAAAUGUUGGUAUUAGUGAACACUGGUUGCGCAUGAUAAGCGGCAACAAAAUCAGAUCACCGUAGCAUCCCCGUGGCUAUUCUGCUAUUAUCAACGCACCCCCUGGCUUUCGCCCAUCUGCGUUCUCUUUUCACUAGGCAAUACGUCCACCGACAAACCGACGUGACACUCUGUUUCCAAGAUUGGCAAGAAAUUUAAACCUCAAACCGUUUAAAAAUCGUAACUCGUUCUGUCAUUUUCGUCUUUUGACAAAAGAAACCUUGAAGAAGACGUCAUAAAACAGCACGAAAAUUUCCAGCUGAUCAAUGUAAACAUCACAUGCACUCUUAUUUCUAUCUAACCAAUAGAAGAUACAAUCAACCAUGCAAUGGAGCUAUUAAAAGAAAUCCUUCGAUAUGAAGCAAAAUAGUCUAUGAACCCCAAAUAAAAACUCCCAAACAUAAAAACUUUCAGCGGAUGAAAUUUCUUUUUAACGUUCAUAACGAAAUGUCUUCUUAAUGCGCAAAACAUUGAAUGCAGGUUAUUACUUCAAAAUGUGUAAAAUAAUUUGACAAGGUAAAGCUCCUGUGCGCACGCACACAUAAAGAGGAAGCUGUAUAAAUCAUCGCACAGAUGGAGCUAGUGAUUAAAAGGAGAACUUAUUUGCCAAGAAAAAUUGGAAAAGUUGUAUGAGCUGGCACGUCGGUUUGUCGGUGAUAUGUCUACCAAUUCUCGCGUUACAUUUGAAAAGGGCCUAUCCCUAGAACGUAAACAUUGAGAAAAAUCGAUGCAAACAUUUUCCAUCACAUUUUCUAUUCGUAUUUCACAGUUUUCGGAUUUUUCGACAUGCUUUUCGUUUUAAUGACACAAGAAUAGAUGUAUCUAUGCUUCAAUAAGCAAUUUUGCAUUAAAAGUUAUCAAAAAAGUAUGAAAAAUUAUAGAUAAACAUGUAAAGCUAAUUUAAAAAGUUUCAUCCGGUGUACGCCUUAUUGUGAGUCUUUCUAAAAUUUUCUUAGCGUGGGUUGGUCCCCCGAGUGAGUCCGUUGUUGACAUCGUAUCAAGGCUUGGCCGUUUUUGAGAGAGAGAAUUCUCGCUCUCGGCGCUCGGGCCGAGAGCCGCUCCGAAAAUUUUCGGUUGUCGGCCCUUUAAACGAGAGGACCAACAAAUGAAAACAAAAUUUUACCGUUACUGGCCCAUUUGGAGCACGGGCUUAUGAAUGAUUGGGAAAAAAGCAAUGAUCGGCCGUUUUGAAGGUGGGGUUUAUUCUGAUAAGAUUAACGGUUAGGCGGGUGAUGUUUGCACAGUAUGUUACUGUUGGGGGAUGCUAUGGAAAGGUAUCAAAAUCGAUUUGUUUACAUUUUAGGGAUAGGCCCUUUUCAAAUGUAACGCGAGAAUUGAUGU
Molecule: long non-coding RNA, 10157 nt
Organism: Aedes albopictus (Asian tiger mosquito)
Lineage: Eukaryota; Metazoa; Arthropoda; Insecta; Diptera; Culicidae
Exons: 2
Source: RefSeq, a predicted model, not a curated record